Molecule: transfer RNA, 66 nt
Filed under: Gilpinia sp.
Lineage: Eukaryota; Metazoa; Arthropoda; Insecta; Hymenoptera; Diprionidae
Description: tRNA-Glu
Source: RNAcentral
AUUUAUAUAGUUUAAAAAAACAUUACAUUUUCAUUGUAAAAAUAAAUUAAUAAAAUUUUAUAAAUU